AUGACAGCUGUAAAAUACUGCCGUACUGAAUCUACUGAUAUGAUACUUUCGAUAGCUAAUGUGUUCAGUGUUCCUACCACAUUCCACUUGAGGUGGUUUUCAGUUCGUUUAUGGUCUGUUUUUGGCAUGGAUUGCAGUUUCUCUGAGGUUUUGGCACAUAUUAUUUCUCAGCUUGUCAUGUUUCUCUGCAUCUGCUGGUGUGAGUUCUGUGUGGACUUAAUGAACAUUUUUGGCCAACUGUACCUUAAACAUGUUGUUUUUCUUUCUAAACUAAACAUUUGAUUCACAUAUACUCUAGCGUUGCCUUCUGUAUUUAAACUAAUGCAGUGUGUCAGGAGAAGAUGUUUUUUACUGUCUGGGUCAUGCAUGAUCUUUCGAGAUUGGUUGCAUGGAUGUCUAUGACCAUUUUAAACAAUUUAAGAAUGUAAUGCAUUAUUUGAGAUAUUUUACAUGUGGAAAUAUGAUCAGAUUGUAAAGAAUCUUGAAAAUAAUGCAUUCAUAAGCAUUGUAAGAAAAUAAGGUCAUUACAGUUUGAAUGAGCACAAUGAGUAUUCACAAUGUGGCCUUUCUUCCUUUAAACGCGUGGUAAAAUAGAAACACUACACUGGUUAUAUUUUAUUGGGUCAUGUACCUCCAUAAACUACCAUUCAAUUAUGUCGGUCCAAAAGCCUUUGGUCUCUGUCUCUAGAUAUGGCUAUUUGAACAAUUUGUACUUUUUAAAAAUGACUUUUAAUUCUUUGUGUGACCUACUGAAUAAGAUUGCAACAAGCGUUUGCAAUCAUUUGCAUUCGUUUGCUGUAUCAAAAUCAAUAGUUACAUAAUGGUACUGGAUUUUUUUAUAUUUUCCAUACUUGACUGGAAUAUUUAAAAUUGUAUUUCAUUGUAUAUACAAGGGAAGAUUCUAAGGACCGGAAUAUUGCAUUUAAGUUGAAUUCUAGUUAUAUCUAAUGGUGUAUCGCUUUUCGCAAUAUGCAAUAUUGCAAAAAAUUUAACUUUUCUACAUUUACAUUUAGUAGCAGUUUAUCAGUGGUGACAGUAUCAAGGUGAUGAACAUAUGGCAGAAAUGUACAGUUCAGCUCUUAUUUUCUAAUAAUAUUAAGGGGUGAGAUGUAUAUUGUAAAUAGCAGAGGGCCUAAGACAGAUCCUUGCAGUACUUCACUUAUACUGUGCUUUGUAAAAAGAGCUGAAUUUGUUUCGUAUAGGCAAUGAAAAGUCUUCGGCCCUGAGAUAAAUCAAUGUCCACAGCUUCUCUCAUAGUGAAGAAAUGAGCUGUUUGUUUGUCUGAUGCCUGUUUUAACGAUCCACUGGGCACAAUUCAACACACCCUCAUCUUUCCCUCUCAGACGGGGAUUUCAAAAGUGCUGAUAUGGCAACUGCAGAUUAACAUUGUAAGAAAGCCUCCUCAGUAAUCAUUAAAACAGCACGGAGGACAUCUGAGCCUUCGGCUUGGGCCCCAGACCCUCGGAGGUCGAUGUUGUGCUCGUGUGUUUGCAUAUGAAAAGCUGGAUGCCCCUCCAGUCCCUUUAAGCUUUCAAAGAUUCUCCGCACACAUAACUGGUGAGCAUUUCAUGUUAAAAUGAUCAUAAGAGACAGUACAGUCGCCACUUGAAAUAAAGCAAGCAGGGUGCAAAACAAAAGAGGAUCGGCUGUAAAUCCGGGCGUCCCGGACCUGCUGUCAGCGGUGGGGGUGAAAGUGCUCAAACAAUGGCUUUCAUCACACGGUUAAUGUCGGAUUAGAUUGCAUUAAGUACUCGAAAUGUGCUGAGUGCAAAGGAACGGGGCUUAUUUAAUGAGCCAUAACGGUGUGGUGUGGCCCUGUAUAUGCAAUACGAGAUUCAAUAAUAUUUUGCAUACUUAAUAUUGAAUCAAUAUUCUAACCAAGAACAAAAUCUAGUCGAAUGCAGCUAUUGCUUUUGAUACAGAAAAAGCAAAUUCAAAUCUUUAAUAUAGGACGCAUAAUGCUUUAAAAAAAGCCUCAAGUCUCUGCCAUAUUUUGGUCUCUUGACAUAGCUAUUGGUAAAAUGUGUGGUUUUUAAUAAGACUUAAUGUUUGUUGAAAUGUGACUGGAUUUUUUUCCCUCCAUACUUGAAUAUUAAAUAUCAAUUGUGUUUAUGUAAAGAGACCAGAAUAUUGGAGAGGCUUUAUGAUGCCUUUAUAUGUUUGCAGAAACUGAGAAACUGUUUUUUUCUCUGAAUCUUUUUAAUACAAAAAGUCAUAUUGUAAAUGUUUUUACUUUCACUUUUGAUUCAUUUAUUGUCUAAAUGUAUUAAUUACUUCAAAAUAUCUUGACCCCAAACUUUUAAAUGGUUGUGUGUGUGUGUGUGUGUGUGUGUAAGGCUGUAGACAGGACAUUCAUUUAAUCCAUUUCUCUGUCAAUGACUCAAUAUUUCAGUGAGUCAGAGUGAAGUUGAGCAACGCUGCUAUUUUCCCAUCCGUCCACAUCACGUCUCACCUCAGUUUGAUCCCGUGAUGAAUCCAUGAAGACUCACAAACUUAUACAAAAGACAUUAGUCAGUGCCCAUUAAAAGCCUCAAACAGAAAUGAAAAUCACAAGACUAAAUACAGAAAAUAAGGAGAAUUUUGCUUUAUCUGAUUUGCUAUACUCAUUCAUAGCUCUCUAUUGAUUUUCAUCUCUCAGUAUGAGACAAAGUUGAUAUUUAAAUGACAUCUAGUGGGGUCUGAAAGUCUGGGAUCACUAUAUCUGACGUCCUCCUGUCAGUUUUGCUCCGUGAUGUUGAUAAAUGAGCGGAGCGUGUUUAAAAAGAGCAUUGACUGGUGCUCACGAGUCAGUUACGCCGAUGAAAGCCAACAAUGGAGGUGGAGAGUGUCAGAGCAGAGGGGCGUGUCACAGAGGUCAUGACCUGCUCCUGUACCCCACGCCACAGGUCAAACUCACUUUGACUCUUUAGGACAAGAACGAAAAAAAGCAACGUGCACUAACAGGCAUCUCAUUCUCAAUAGUUUGUAUCCUUGCCGGAAACAAUGAAAUAAUUAUUUUAUCCAAUAUUUAAGAAAGAUUAUUUUAAUAUACCGGUCAAAAGUUUAAAAUUAUAAUAAAGAAAAUGUAUUUGCUUGAAAUAUAACUCUUUUCCUCACCAAGUCUGCCUUUAUUGUACU
This is a long non-coding RNA of Carassius auratus (goldfish), 3117 nucleotides long. The record is from Ensembl. Lineage: Eukaryota; Metazoa; Chordata; Actinopteri; Cypriniformes; Cyprinidae.